UAUAGCUAAAAUCAUUGUAUACUGAUUCUUAAUAUGGAUAUACUUUCCUUUUGUUCUGAAUAAUGUUGGGAGGAGUAAUGAACAUAAAUAUGUUCAUUGUUGGACAGAAAUAAAAAGAAGCAAUAUACAUGGAUCAUGACUAUUUCUUAUAUCCUCCUGGUAUGGGCUAACUAUAUUGAUUAGCUUUUGUCAACUUGAUACAUGCUUUUCUUUGGGGAAAAGAACAAUUGAGAACAUUUUUCCAUGUGAUUGGCCUAUAGGAAAGUUGAUGGGGCAUUUUCUUGAUUAAUGGUUGAUGUGGGAGGACCCAGUCCACUGUGGGUGGUGCCAUCCCUGGACAUGUGGUCCUCAGAUGUAUGAAAAGGAAGACUGAGCAAGUCAAGGAGAGCAAGUCACUAAGCAGCGUUCGUCCAUGGCCUCUGCUUCAGUCCUGGACUCCUGACUCCAGUCUUGAUUUCCUACCCUGAUGUUCUUCAAUAACAGACAAUAUGGGGAAGCGUAAGCCAAAUAAAAAAUAAAUUCUUUCCUUUCCAAGUUGCUUUUGGUCAUGUAUUUCAUCCCAGAAAUACAAAACUUAACUAAGACAUUGACUGAUGGGACUUAACACCUUAAAAUUCUAUCUCAAAUGUCACUUUUGGUUUUUUUGGCAAACCUGAAGAGAAAAGAGAGAUGAGAGUCAAGGAGUAUCAGCAUUGGCUACUCUUAGACAUUAUCUAGAUAAGAAGCAGCUCAGAUAUGGGUUUAACUUUCUCAUUGUUGAAUGAGUGGCUUGUCUUCCAGGUUUGGCUUGAAGGCACUGCUUCUUGUUACAGCUCUUCUGAAUCCAGGUUCAUUACUGAUUGUCUGAACUUUCAGGACCCAUGUUUUCACACUGCUUCCAACCUUACUGGUGAGAGUGCUGGAAAGCCUGAGGAGGCUAUAACUUCUAGCCUUCCCAGUCAAACUCAGUUCCAGCACAGCAGUUAUGGAACAGGAUGUCAAUAUGGAUGUAGAUCAGCCACCAGAAUGGCAGAUUAGUGUCAGAGUUAACUUAUGAACAUGUAUAGAGGAAGAAGCACCUGUCAUAAGCACUAAGAGUGUUCCAUUGUUUCCUUUGCAUCGACUGUGAAGAAGUUGCCAUAACCAAUGAGCAUCGCCGUGGGGAUGGGGAGUCGCUUAAGUUUAUUAAGCUGAAUGAGAGUAGGAUGUCAUAUUUCUGUUUUAAAUUAUAGCUCUAAUGAGCAAGUGAACAAUUAACUGAACCAGGAGCACUGAUAUUCAGACACCAUUUUAAUAUAUGAUGCUCAUAUAAUCUAUAAUGCCAUCUGAAUGGGCUGCAUGCACUGAAAUACUGACUCUAUUUCCCUACCCUAUUCCAUAUCAAUCAAACUUCUAAACUAGAAACAGCACAUGCACAGAAUUAUCAGCUUAUAGUUCAUCUGCCACAAUGUGAAGACUUCCAUACAAUCACCACCCAAGUCAGAAUGUAGACCAUUGUGAACAACUGCUCAUCUCUCUGUGUCCUCUCCAAUUUCAUCCCUUUCCUUCCUCAAAUGCAACAACAGUUCAGACUUUUCAUAUCUGUUUUGCCUGACUUUAAACUCUCUAUAAAUGGAAACAUUACAUAGUACUUUUAUUUCCUGCUUUUUUUUUCAAACAUAUUAUUUAUGAGAUUCAUUUAUGGUAUUGGUGGAAGAAAUCUGCCAGCCAAUCUGCCUUCAUUCUUUCAGGCUUGCUGUUACAGCGAGUGAGGCAACUUUCUAUGUACUUUACAGCUUUGGCAGUCAGAACAUCAGCUCCUGUACUUGAAAGCCAGGAAUGCCAUGAGAUCAAUGACUCUCCAGCAGAUAUCAGGGAUGUAUGGGGGUUUACAUGUAUAUGUUCCAGCUCUUAACUGCUGGUUGGGUGACUCUAAGGCGUAUAGUUUAUGCUGGUCUUGAGAAAUUCCCAGUGGAAUUAGUUCUACUCACAAUGGUGAUUAUAGGCUGCCUUUUCUGCCUAGUCUCAUUUCUCAAUUCCUCCAGGAAUAUUUGCUAGAGAUACCUUCUAUAUAAAUCAACUGGACCUGUAUUUUUAUCUCUGGAUCUGUUUCUGGGAGCUUAAUAUAAUACAGGUAAGGUUGAAUUUUUUUUGUGUGCUAUAUUACUGUUACAGUAAUCAAUACAUCUUAUUUACAUAUUAUCAAAAACUUACCUGGUACACAUACCUCCACCUUUGAGGUGGUUUGAAUGAGAAUUACCCCUGUAGGCUCAUAUAUUUGAAUGCUUGGUUAUUAGGGAGUGGUGCUACUUGACAGGGAUUAGGAGGUGUGGCCUUCUUGAAGUAGAUGUGGCCUUGUUGGAGGAAGUGUGUCACUGGGGUUGGGCUUUGGAUUUUCAAAUGCUCAAGUCAUUCCCAGUGUCUCUCUUUACCUGCUGCCUGUGGAUACAGAUGCAGAACUCUCAGCUCCUCCAGUACCAUGUCUGCCUGCAUGCCACCAUGCUCCCCACCAUGAUGACAAUGGCCUAAACUUCUGAACUGUAAGCAAGCCUCAAUUAAAUGCUUCUUUUAUAAGAGUUGCCUUGGUCAUGGUGUCUCUUUACAGCAAUAGAACAUUGACUAAUACAGCCUUCAUACAGAAUAUAUGUACCAUGAACAGAAAUGUGGUGUACAUAUGGCACUAAAGCUUACUGUGGUAAAGCUUCAGAUGGAAUAAGAAGUAGUUCUGUGAUUGUCUCUAGCUGUCAAGUAUCGAAAAAUUGUAUAGUGGCCCAAAGUAUGAGUUCCAAAUAAAGAAGUUGAUUUGGACCAUGCAUCUGUCUGGUUUAGUGUCAAAACAAAGGCUUGCUAACAAGUGAGUCAUGUACUUAUACCUAGGAAUUCAUUUUCCUUAAAGAGUCUGUCAUGCCAUACACUACAUACACCAAUAUAUUAAGUCAUAAAAUAUGGAAGAAGAAAUAGUAACACAUUUUUCCUGCUAGGAUUGAAGUGGUAUCGGUUUAGUUUGAGAGUGAGAAAAGUUUUGCAUUUCAAAAAUGUAUUUUUCUGAUCUCAAAAUAUUCUUUCUUAAGGUCCCAUUUGUUAAGUUGGAGGUUUUAAAAAUAUAUCAUUCUUGUUGCAAAUUUAAUUUAUAAGAAAAGUUGCUUUAACUUUCAGUAUCAUCCUCAUUGAAACGAGUCUUUCUAUGAAAUUGGUACUUUCUCAUUUGCUUAUCUAUAUGGAAAGAUAUUUGCUUGCUGAUAGAUAUAAGAUGAUUUCCAUCUCAUAUUGUCUGGGCCUUUGAGUCUUUCCUUAAAGAUAAAGUUAAACUAGAAAUGAUAGGUUUAAUUGUUUUUGUUUUUGUUUUUUUCCCCCAUAUUUUAUUUAGGGUCUGUUGGUAUUUGCAGCAGCAUGCAGGUAAAACUCCCCACAUCAAUUUGUAUAUCUUUCCACUCGUUUUAUUUAUUUAUUUAUUUAUUUUUAACUUGUUAUAGGUUCUUUGUGGAUUUCACAUCAUGCAUCCCGAUCCCACUCAUCUCCUCAUCCCCUCACUUCUUCCCUCUGCUCUCGUAACCUCCCCUCAAAAAACAAAAUUUAAUAGUAAAACAAAAACAAAAGCCAAUAACAAUAAUAAAACAAAAUGAAAUAAAAUAAAACCCAAACCCCCAAACAAAAAAACAAAAAAUCAAACACCAACAACAACAACAAAAUCUUGGAGUGAAAGCUGUAGUUUGGACCAGUGAGUCACACAGUUUACCCUUCAGUCCAUACAUCUUUACUUGUAGGUGUUCAUUGCAAGGAAUCACUGAUCUGGUUUGAUGCCCCUGGCUUCUGCUACACUAUCAAUACUGAGCCCUUACUAGGACUCCUCUUGGAUAUCCUGUUGUUGCCUUGAGUCAUGGAGGUUCUGUAGCUUUGGAUCUGCAGGUCUGGCACCUUAUCAGACUCUGGCAGUUCAUAGAUGAGGGGGGUGUUGGGGUGGGCUAUCUUGUGGUUCCAGUUCUAGGCCUGGGUGGUAGCUGGGUUGGUCAGCCUGCCAGCUUUCCCUCAUGCACACCGCCCAGGUGGGUUCUCCAGUACAGUCCACUAGCUCACUCAAUGUAGCAGAUAACAAGGAGCAAGGCUAGUUCUCCUGCUGUCAAGCCCUUGGGUCUGACUUGCCUGCACUCACAUCACCAGGCAGGGCCAGCUCUAUUGUUUUGGCCAGAGGAGGUGCAGGGCCUGCUUUCUGAAUUGCUAACCUUGGUGAGGGUAGGGCUUCUUCUGUUCUCAUGUCCCUGAGUCUGGCUCUCCCACAGGCAGCAAGGAGUAGGGUGAAGGGCAUAAUUCCCUCACCCUUGCCACCCCAUCACAUAGGAGAGAGGGGGUAGAGGAAGAUCUCCUGCUCUCAUGCCCAUAGGCCUGGCUCGCCUGUGAUCCUGCCAACAGGAUUAGCUCUACUGUGCUGCCUAAGUGAGGUCCAGGGCCCACUCUUGAAUGCUGCAGUUGGUGAGGGGCAGGAUCAGCUUUCCCACUCUCUUGAUCCCGGGACCAGCUUUUCCUGCCUGCAGUAGGUAGCAAGGGGCAAGGGGCAAGGAGGUUAUCUCUCCCCCACCCAUGCCACCACAUGACAGACGGUGGGGCUAGCUCUCCCACUCUCAUGUCGUCAGGGCCUACUUACCCGCAUCUCCACCAGCAGGGACAGCUUGUUGUAAUACUAGUUCAUAAUAGUUCAAUUAUGUAAAGAGUUGUUGCAUUUGUUUAUGUUGCAUUUGUUUAAUUAUGAAAAGAUGUGUUGCCGUUUUGCCUUGCCUGCCUAAAGUACCUGACUGGUCUAAUAAAGAGCUGAGCAGCCAAUAGCUAGGCAGAGAAAGGAUAGGUGGGGCUGGCAGGCAGGAAGAAUAAACAGAGAAGGAAUUUGGGCUCUGGAGGAAAGGAGAAGAGAAGGAGAAGGAGAUGGGGAUGCCAGGGGCCAGUCACUGAACCACCCAGCCAGCCAGCUAGCCAGCCAUAGAGAAAGCAGGAAAGUAAGACAAGGAAAGAAAGGUAAAAAGCCCUGGGGCAAAACAUAGAUAAAGAGAAACAGGAGAAUUAAAGUUAGAAAAGCUAGCUAGAAACAGGUCUAAGAUGAUGCUGGGCAUUUGUGACAAAGAAUAAAAAGUCUCUGUCUGUAUUUGGGAUCUGGGUGGUGGACCUCUAAAAGGAAAAAAGCCAAUUACAUUUUGGCACACCAAAGUAGGGUCUGAGUUUCCUCCUUGGGCUUGAUAAAGCUGAACAAACAAACAAACAAACAAACAAACAAAUGAACAAAAAAUGGCAUGUUAAGUAGAAACAGCAAGCUAAGUAAAAACACCUGCCAUAGUGUGGGUACCCACUUCCUAGAGCUAGGUAGGUUGAAUGUAGUUCCUGGCCAAACACAACUCUGAGUUGAAUGCAGCUCAGGAUGGGGCUGCAGGCUUAGGCUUGGCUUUCACAACCUGAGAAGGGGGCAGAGUCAGCCACCAGAAUCUUGGCAGAGGAUCCAGCUGUGGCUUAGGAGUUGAAGUCUGGCUCAUCAGAAAAGUCUUCAAACAUGCAGUAAAGACAGAUCCAGAUGGUAAAAAAAACCUCUAAACAGGUUACAGUGUGCUUUGAAAUGUAUAUAGGCUUAAGAAAGUAAAGAAAAUGGGUAUAGACAGUCAUAGAAAAAAUAGUUUAUAAGUAAUCAGGUCUUUAAAGAAAGAGUAAAGUAAUCUAAAAGAGUAAAUCACAUACAGAUGGGAAAUAUACAGAGUGUGGAUCCUGUAUGGUGUUGUGCUGUCUUUGAAUUUUUUGAGUGCUGAUGAAUGAAUAACAGCUGCUGAGAAACACUGUAUUGCAAACAGGACUGCUAAAUUGAACCAACCUAGAUACUUUAGGAAUAUAUUAACUUUAAAAAAGUCAAAAAUAUGUUAUGUAGAAGAAGAGGUUUUGCUUAUGUUUCCACAGCAAAGGAGAGGUUGUGGAUUCCUUCAAGGUUGAUAGAGAUCAGGUUUGAUCUGGGGAGAAGCCCUGAAAUCUUGACUACAGAUACCAAGAAAUAAACCAAGAAAAAGCUACAAGAUAGGUGAUGUAUAUACUGACCCCUCUACUAUGGGAACAGCUCUGAGAUUGGAUGAAAUUCCAAUUUUCCCAGGGUCCCCUGGGGAUGUCUUUGCCCAAAGAUAACAGGAAGCAGUCUAGAGAACACUAUGCUCACAUUCCCAAUAGGUUGGGUGGGUGGUUUUUGGUUAUUCAGUGGGUUGUGGAUGUUUGUUAUCACUUAGGAGGAAUAUAGGAUAAAAUGACAACUACUAGCCUCAAAUAUUUUGUUAUUUUACAUUGAUAUGGAUUUUAGUAUAUUGAUUCAAAUUUAGUUAUUUUUGUUAUACUGUAUAUAUGUUUCUACUCUUAUUUGGGAUAUAAUGCUUAUGCAGUUCAUUUAAAAAUGAAAUGUACAAUUAAGAAAUGCAGGUUAAUGGUUAGUCAUCCAUAAAAAUCAAACUUGUAGCCAUAUUAGAUAUGUUUUCAAAGUUAACAUAUUUUAGAUAUAUAGGUGAUUUUAAAAUACUUCAGAGACCUAUUUCAUUUAAGAUGUUUAGUAACCUGAGGCUUUUCAUGAAAGUGAAACAUGUCUGCUCCUGGCAGCACUAGUUUAAUUCAGAGAAGAUAAUGGACAUCAAAGAAACUCCAUAAGGAGCAACAUUCCCACAUCCCUCAGUGGUAACAGGAGCCACAGACAUCAAUCAAUACAGAGCCCCACUGGCUGCACCAGAGCCACAGAUCAAGUCAUGGCCCUUGACAGCAGCCCCGGGCACAGACAUCACCAUGACACUGUAUGACAAGCAGGCCAUCUACAUCAGGAUGUUCCUCCCACCCUUCCCUCUUCAGAUCUACCUCUUUCCACAGCAUAUCAAUCAUUCUGCCUUUCUCUCUCCCAUUUCCUCACCUGUUCACCAUAAUGGUGCCUGACUGCCCUGCACCAGAGGCCUGGAAGCACUGAACUGCUCCUGGAUGAUUUCUUCUCUCUAGAGACCUGGAGUGGAAGUGUGUAUCGACUCAUUUUCUUUUUUUACAACCUGAUUUUACCUUCUUCAUUGAUGACAACUUUAUGGUGUCCCUUGAAAGCACUGUGGAUCAUAUGCAAUCAUCAAAGAGAUUGUCAAAACAAAGUUAUCAGGUGCUGCAUUAAUUUGGGGACCCCAGCAUGAGGAGUCUGAGUGGAACAAGUUAUUUGAUGGUGUCAACAAAUAUGAAUCACCCCACAGAGUUUUGAAAGAAGGGUGCUGAUGUUUUUCACUUCUACAUGAGGCAUUUCUUGUGUAUGGAUUUCCAGGGUGCAAUAGGAGGGAGACACUGUGAGUAGGUGGCCUGGUAUCAUUGGUUGAGCAAAGCUCUCCAGAGAAGGAAAGAGUAUCAUAGACCAUGUAGAUCACAAAGAAUGGACAAAGGGAAUCUCAUGAAGGAAGUCCCACAGGAAUAAAAGGGGAGCUCUCCUGGAGACUUCACUGGAGAAGUAGAUCUGUACCACAUGAUGAGUGCUACACUUAUGCAGCUGGAGGAAUCACUGAUGAGCUCUCCUGCUGUAGGGAGUGUGCCUGGAAGAUGGUUCCUGCUGUUGGCUAUGACAGGGGUUUAAGGCUGGCUCAUUCUAGUCAGAUAUGACAUAAGUUAUUUGGAUGACAUUUGACAUAUUAAAAUAUGUAUUAUUCAUAAGAAAAAUUGUUUUCAUUCUUUAAUAUUUUUAUGAUAUAAAAACAUAGGUUUUAGCUAUAGAGAUGAAGCUGUGGAAAUUAUCAAGAACUGUGUGAAAUAUUCUAUUUCUCACAACUUAAGGAAUAAGCAAUGAUGGAAAUAUCUUUUCCUUACUGCUUAAAUUUGUAAAACUUACAUUAGUUAAUUUAGUGCUGAAAAGCAUGCCGGGAUACGAGCAAGCUUAUGUAACAUUUUACAUAGAUUAAUUAUUGAAAAAUUUGGAGAAGAUAAUUUCUUUUAUUUAUGCAAGCGUUAUUUUACUUCUUUAGGUUGUGUGUGUGUGUGUGUGUGUGUGUGUGUGUGUGUGUGUACUUAGAUAUGCAUUGCAUAUGCCAAUGGUCAACAUUGAAUGUCGUCAGCUAUUGCUUUUCAUUUUCUUUUUUGAGACAGGCUCUGUUAUUGAACUUGGAACUCAACAUUUUGGUUGGCCUGACGAGCCGUGAGCCUCAGGGUAGGUCCCUGUCUUUUCCUCAGCACAGAGUUUCUGUGUUUGUGCUGCUAUGCCUGGCUUUUGGAUGGGUAUGGGAAUUUGAACUCAUGUCCUCAUCCCACUGCACAGCAAGCACUCUACCCACUGAGCCACAUCCCAAGUCCCUUGCUGUUUGUAAAUUAUAUUUCUUUUAACCCAACCACCUCAUAGAUGGAAAAUUUUCAUAAUUGCCUAAGUAAAAGGAUAUAGAAACAAACAGACAUAAACUGGUUAAUACUGAUUGAGUGUUCAUUAUGCCAAACACUGUACUAAGGAUUUUGCAUUUAAUAAGUCAUUUAAUCUCCAUAUUCUUAGCCAUAGAUAAUUGGUUAUUUCAUUUUGAAGUUGAAAAAAAAAUUAGUGGAGAGUAGUAGAAAUGAAAAUGAACGAUAUAUUCUGGCUCUAGUUUUCAUUCUCUCAACCAUAACAUGCAUUAUUUUUGAUAAAUUGAAGUACAAACUCACAGCUAUUGUCCUGAGUAGCUAAAACUAGUUAGCCUAGAGUCCUCUUGCAGGAAAUCUUCAAUCGAGGAAUGACAUAGUUCAUAUUGUCCUGUGGACAUGUCUGUGGGGGAUUGUAUUGGUUAGUUAUUGGUGUGGGUAGUACCAUCCCUAGGUAGGUAGUUCUGAGUUGUAUAUGAAAGUCACCUUAGGAUAAGCUGGACUGUGAAUUAGCUAACAAUCAGUGUCCUCCACGGUUCCUGCUAUACUUCUCAGACUAUGAAGUGAAGUUUUUUGUUGGAGGCAAUACUGUGUGGAAUAGCAAGUAGGCCUGCCUUCAAGCUCCUGCCUUGAGUUCCUCUCUAGACUUCCAUCAGUGAUAAAGCUGUGGUCUGCAAUUGUAAGCUGGAAUAAACCCUUUCCUCCAUUAAGCUGCUUCUAGUGAGAGUGUUUUUAUCACUGCAGCAGAAUGAAACUAGAGUAAUUAUUUAGCAAUAAUUCUGACAACCCAAAUCCCUUGCUAUGUAAUACCUAAUUGAAAAACUACCCUAGCUGAAACUGUAAUAUAGUAAAACUUGAAAUGAUCUGAUAUGAAGCUUUUAAUCUGGUGUCAUGUCAUAUUAAUGUUUUACUGAUUAAACACUGAUGCUUUUGAAUGCG
Peromyscus californicus insignis is the source of this 9237-nucleotide long non-coding RNA. RefSeq lists it as uncharacterized. NCBI's taxonomy places the organism in Eukaryota, Metazoa, Chordata, Mammalia, Rodentia, Cricetidae. The record is from RefSeq and is a predicted model, not a curated record. The transcript is spliced from 2 exons.